This 440-nucleotide ribosomal RNA is filed under the name uncultured bacterium. RNAcentral describes it as "partial 16S ribosomal RNA". It matches the Rfam family "Bacterial small subunit ribosomal RNA", at positions 338 to 795 of the family's 1533-position model. The record is from RNAcentral.
CCUACGGGAGGCAGCAGUGAGGGAUAUUGGACAAUGGGGGAAACCCUGAACCAGCAACGCCGCGUGAGUGAAGACGGCUUUCGGAUUGUAAACCUCUGUCCGCGGUGAAGAAAAUGACGGUAGCAGAGGAGGAAGCUCCGGCUAACUACGUGCCAGCAGCCGCGGUAAUACGUAGGGCGCAAGCGUUGUCCGGAUUUACUGGGUGUAAAGGGUGCGUAGGCGGCCCUGCAAGUCGGAAGUGAAAUCCAUGGGCUUAACCCGUGAACUGCUUUUGAAACUGUAGGGCUUGAGUGCAGUAGAGGCAGGUGGAAUUCCCGGUGUAGCGGUGAAAUGCGUAGAGAUCAGGAGGAACACCAGUGGCGAAGGCGGCCUGCUGGGCUUUAACUGACGCUGAGGCACGAAAGCGUGGGGAGCAAACAGGAUUAGAUACCCGUGUAGUC